RNAcentral lists this non-coding RNA (25 nucleotides) under Cricetulus griseus (Chinese hamster). Lineage: Eukaryota; Metazoa; Chordata; Mammalia; Rodentia; Cricetidae. The record is from RNAcentral.
AAUUAGUUUUUGUAUUGGAAGGGCU